This 108-nucleotide small nuclear RNA is filed under the name Castor canadensis (American beaver). Lineage: Eukaryota; Metazoa; Chordata; Mammalia; Rodentia; Castoridae. The record is from RNAcentral.
GUGCUUGCUUUGGCUGUACAUAUACUGAAAUUGGAACAGUAACAGAGAAGAUUAGCAUGGCCUCUGCACAAGGAUGAAAUGCAAAUUCAUGAAGAAUUCCAUAUUUAA